RNAcentral lists this transfer RNA (68 nucleotides) under Ctenophorus caudicinctus macropus. RNAcentral's name for it is "tRNA-Tyr". The record is from RNAcentral. RNAcentral also lists the same sequence under 1 other name. Lineage: Eukaryota; Metazoa; Chordata; Lepidosauria; Squamata; Agamidae.
AUUGUAAGGUGGCUGAAUCAUAGGCGGUGGGUUGUAAUUCCAUUUAUGGGGUUAGUCCCCUCUUUACA